UAGGGAAUCUUCCACAAUGGACGCAAGUCUGAUGGAGCAACGCCGCGUGAGUGAAGAAGGUUUUCGGAUCGUAAAGCUCUGUUGUUGGUGAAGAAGGAUAGAGGUAGUAACUGGCCUUUAUUUGACGGUAAUCAACCAGAAAGUCACGGCUAACUACGUGCCAGCAGCCGCGGUAAUACGUAGGUGGCAAGCGUUGUCCGGAUUUAUUGGGCGUAAAGCGAGCGCAGGCGGAAGAAUAAGUCUGAUGUGAAAGCCCUCGGCUUAACCGAUGAACUGCAUCGGAAACUGUUUUUCUUGAGUGCAGAAGAGGAGAGUGGAAUUCCAUGUGUAGCGGUGGAAUGCGUAGAUAUAUGGAAGAACACCAGUGGCGAAGGCGACUCUCUGGUCUGCAACUGACGCUGAGGCUCGAAAGCAUGGGUAGCGAACAGG
Molecule: ribosomal RNA, 429 nt
Filed under: bacterium
Lineage: Bacteria
Description: partial 16S ribosomal RNA
Rfam family: Bacterial small subunit ribosomal RNA
Source: RNAcentral